CCUACGGGUGGCAGCAGUGAGGAAUAUUGGUCAAUGGACGCGAGCCUGAACCAGCCAAGUUGCGUGAAGGAUGACUGCCCUCCGAGUUGUAAACUUCUUUUAUCAAGGACUAAAUUGCGGCACGUUUGCCUUUUUGUCUGUACUUUAUGAAUACGGCUCGGCUAACUCCGUGCCAGCAGCCGCGGUAAUACGGAGGAUCCGAGAGUUAUCCGGAUUUAGGGGGUUUAAAGGGAGCGUAGAUGGGUUGUUAAGUCAGUUGUGAAAGUUUGCGGCUCAACCGUAAAAUUGCAAUUGAUACUGGCAGUCUAGAGUACAGUAGAGGUAGGUGGAAUUCGUGGUGUAGCGGUGAAAUGCUUAGAUAUCACGAAGAACUCCGAUUGCGAAGGCAGCUUACUAAACUGCAACUGACAUUGAUGCUCGAAAGUGUGGGUAUCAAACAGGAUUAGAUACCCGAGUAGUC
RNAcentral lists this ribosomal RNA (460 nucleotides) under uncultured bacterium. Its description in RNAcentral is "partial 16S ribosomal RNA". It matches the Rfam family "Bacterial small subunit ribosomal RNA", at positions 338 to 795 of the family's 1533-position model. The record is from RNAcentral.